RNAcentral lists this ribosomal RNA (476 nucleotides) under uncultured bacterium. Its description in RNAcentral is "partial 16S ribosomal RNA". It matches the Rfam family "Bacterial small subunit ribosomal RNA", at positions 28 to 523 of the family's 1533-position model. The record is from RNAcentral.
GAUGAACGCUGGCGGCGUGCUUAACACAUGCAAGUCGAGCGAGUGAGUUCUUCGGAACGAUCUAGCGGCGGACGGGUGAGUAACACGUGGGCAACCUGCCUCAUAGAGGGGAAUAGCCUCCCGAAAGGGAGAUUAAUACCGCAUAACAUCGUUGAAGGGCAUCCUUCGAUGAUCAAAGGAGCAAUCCGCUAUGAGAUGGGCCCGCGGCGCAUUAGCUAGUUGGUGAGGUAACGGCUCACCAAGGCGACGAUGCGUAGCCGACCUGAGAGGGUGAUCGGCCACAUUGGGACUGAGACACGGCCCAGACUACGACGGGAGGCAGCAGUGGGGAAUAUUGCACAAUGGGGGAAACCCUGAGGCAGCAACGCAGCGGGAGUGAUGACGGCCUUCGGGUUGUAAAGCUCUGUCUUUGGGGACGAUAAUGACGGUACCCAAGGAGGAAGUCACGGCUAACUACGUGCCAGCCGCCGCAGUAA